GGGGAUUUGGCUCAGUGGUAGAGCGCUUGCCUAGAAGCAAAAGGCCCUGGGUUCGGUCCCCAGCUCCG
This 68-nucleotide transfer RNA is filed under the name Rattus norvegicus (Norway rat). It matches the Rfam family "tRNA". From Rfam's summary of the family: Transfer RNA (tRNA) molecules are approximately 80 nucleotides in length. Their secondary structure includes four short double-helical elements and three loops (D, anti-codon, and T loops). Lineage: Eukaryota; Metazoa; Chordata; Mammalia; Rodentia; Muridae. The record is from Rfam by way of RNAcentral.